This 75-nucleotide transfer RNA is filed under the name Nitrospirota bacterium. RNAcentral describes it as "tRNA-Met". It matches the Rfam family "tRNA". From Rfam's summary of the family: Transfer RNA (tRNA) molecules are approximately 80 nucleotides in length. Lineage: Bacteria; Pseudomonadati; Nitrospirota. The record is from RNAcentral.
UGCGGGGUGGAGCAGGGGUAGCUUGCCUGGCUCAUAACCAGGAGGUCGCUGGUUCGAGUCCAGCCCCCGCAACCA